RNAcentral lists this long non-coding RNA (390 nucleotides) under Bos taurus (domestic cattle). RNAcentral describes it as "long non-coding RNA NONBTAT017534". Lineage: Eukaryota; Metazoa; Chordata; Mammalia; Artiodactyla; Bovidae. The record is from RNAcentral.
CUUUUCUUAGAAGCCCCAAUUCAAAAUUGUCCCUCUGAAUCUUCAUUCAAUACCACCUCAUCAUGUUUCAUGUGGGCACUUAAUAUAUGAAGGGACUGAUGGAAGGGAUGUUUUCUGGAAACAUCUGGAAAGAAAGAUAAAAGCAAAUCCCAGAAAUUAUAAUGUAGUUAAGGACCUAUGGAUGUGAAAAAAAAAAAAAUUCUGGCAGGUGUCUAAAAACAAGCAAAGUCCAAUUAGCUGGAGAAUUUUUCCCUGUGAUGUUUGAUGAUGUUUGAUGUUUGAUGAGCUAGAACUAUAACCAGCAUUUUAUUUCUAAAUGACUUUCAGGGAAAUCUCAAAUGUUUCAUAAACACUGAUAAAGACUUAGAACCUGUCUUAGAAGAAGACUUG